Molecule: ribosomal RNA, 466 nt
Filed under: uncultured bacterium
Lineage: Bacteria
Description: partial 16S ribosomal RNA
Rfam family: Bacterial small subunit ribosomal RNA
Source: RNAcentral
GAUGAACGCUGGCGGCGUGCUUAACACAUGCAAGUCGAACGAUGAAGCCCAGCUUGCUGGGUGGAUUAGUGGCGAACGGGUGAGUAACACGUGAGUAACCUGCCCUUAACUCUGGGAUAAGCCUGGGAAACUGGGUCUAAUACCGGAUAGGAGCGUCCACCGCAUGGUGGGGGUUGGAAAGAUUUAUCGGUUUUGGAUGGACUCGCGGCCUAUCAGCGUGUUGGUGAGGUAAUGGCUCACCAAGGCGACGACGGGUAGCCGGCCUGAGAGGGUGACCGGCCACACUGGGACUGAGACACGGCCCAGACUCCUACGGGAGGCAGCAGUGGGGAAUAUUGCACAAUGGGCGAAAGCCUGAUGCAGCGACGCCGCGUGAGGGAUGACGGCCUUCGGGUUGUAAACCUCUUUCAGUAGGGAAGAAGCGAAAGUGACGGUACCUGCAGAAGAAGCACCGGCUAACUACGUG